AAAUGGAUAGCAGCCCCCACCCCAACACCCCACCUACCCAACCUCCACCCCCCAAAAUAUAAAAAAAAUUGGAAGAGAACUUUCUCCUCUAUGCUCUUACGCAGAAUAAAUACAUUCCACUAAAAUGAUGAAAUACUGUUAUAGCUUUGACCAUCGAUUUCACACUUCUCAUAGUAAAAGCCUACUUUCAGACGUUUGAUAAUAUAACCGUGGAGGCCAUACAAAGUUGAAGUCAAACCAGUCGGCACUUUUGCGGAAUGACGUGCGGCACAAAAGAACCGCAAGGAAGUCGAUUCCUCGUUCCGCAGUCAACCAACCAAUAGUAGAAGAAUCUCAUCUGAGAAACACGUUUAAUCUGAGAAACAUAGCAAACUCAACAUUCAGGCCCACCAAGCAGGACCUUUUUAAGACCCUCUCUGAUUAUGAAUGAACCCCCAAGUUUCCUGAUCAAAGUUCACUAUGAAUGAACCCUCAACUUUCCCGAUCAAAGUUCACAGUGGGCACAUCCAAUUUAUAAAAUCUGUUUGACGAAAUUAUGGACAACAUCCUUGCAAGCCACAUGGAUACANN
Molecule: long non-coding RNA, 570 nt
Filed under: Elaeis guineensis (African oil palm)
Lineage: Eukaryota; Viridiplantae; Streptophyta; Magnoliopsida; Arecales; Arecaceae
Description: long non-coding RNA (EGUI_LNC021412)
Source: RNAcentral